UAUCACAACAGCAGAUAUAUCUGUUGGCUACACUUCAAUGUAUGGUUUUAUAGCAUCCAACCCACAUGACCAUUAUGGCUGCUCAUUGCAACGGUGGUGCUUAUGUUAACACCAGUUACAUAAGUUAUCCCUGUGAAGUAUGUUGUCGAGUUGCUGGCUUC
This 161-nucleotide small RNA is filed under the name Oryza sativa Japonica Group (Japanese rice). RNAcentral's name for it is "sRNA Os11g0527400". The record is from RNAcentral. Lineage: Eukaryota; Viridiplantae; Streptophyta; Magnoliopsida; Poales; Poaceae.